CAUUGCUAGAAGUGGCCAAAACAUAGUAAGCAACGAUGUGACCAAUAGAACCCCAAGCAAGAACAUCCACGAUGUUGAAUCCAACAGGGUCGUUCGAUUUCAAGAGGCUUACGUACUCCUUGGCACGAUCAUCUCCCGCUUCGAAGUGGGUCUUCCCGUUCUGCUCCGGCACCUGUUUAGCCACAUUCUCUCUCUGGAAGUUGAAGAAGACGAACCGGCCUAGGAAGAGGGAGAGACCUGUGCUGAGGCUAAUAACGACGGAUGGGCUGAGCUCGGCUCUCACGACGGCGGAGGAGGAAGAUCUUCUUCCGGAGGUGGUGGAUAGCUUGGGUAAGGCAGAUGAGGAGCCACCGAGGCGGAGAGGACGGAGG
This 371-nucleotide long non-coding RNA is filed under the name Brassica napus (rape). Its description in RNAcentral is "long non-coding RNA (BNAP_LNC025735)". The record is from RNAcentral. Lineage: Eukaryota; Viridiplantae; Streptophyta; Magnoliopsida; Brassicales; Brassicaceae.